CUGAUGAUGUGGCUCAAGCGGUAGCGCGCUCGCCUGGCAUCCAUGUGGCCUGGGUUCGAUCCCCAGCACCACAUACAAACAAAGAUGUUGUGUCCACCGAAAACUAAAAAAUAAAUAUUAAAAAAUUCUCUCUCUCUCUCUCUCUCUCUCUCUCUCUCUCUAAAAAAAAAAUAAAGGUCCAUCAACAACUAAAAACUAUAUUUUAAAAAAUCGCCCUUGUAGGUUUUCAAAUCAAGCAAACCUCUGAGAUUCAGAUGAAUGUCCUUGAAAGUUUCUUUCUUUCUUCCUCAAUCCUCACCUUGAAAAUUACUAUCAUAUUAAACCAGUUAUUACUGGACAUUUGUUACAUUCCGCAAAUGUAUUACAGCAAUAAGAUUUCAGAGGUGGAACAAUUCUUGGUGAUAAUAAGGACUAGGGGUGUGGCCUUGGAAGUGAGUCACUAAAGUGUCCCAAGAAAUGAAGAGAUAGAGGAAUAAGAGGGAGUUGGAUAGGUUACAUAGAAAUUGAUGUCAUCCUAGAUAAGAGCAGAUCUUGAGAAUAUAGGAAAGUCAGUGAGCUAAUGAAUGAAUUUGGUAGAUCACAAUAAAGGGGAAGGACAGGUUUUUUGUUUGUUCUAUGAUACUGAGGACUGAAGCCAGAACCUCAUACAUGGCUAGGCAAGUGUUCUAUCUCAGAGCUAUAUCCCCAGCUAUGAGGAUAGCCUUAGGCUUGAGCCUAAGCAACUCCAUUUUAAAAAUUCCAGUUAGAAACCUACAGUCUCACUAAGCACACCCACAGAAAGCUGCAGUAUGGCCUCAAACAAGUUACUUCUCCUCACCCUGAUAAACAGGGUGAAGCCCCUGGCAGGCUGUCCUCGCAUGAUAAGAGAAAAAAGCUAGAAGAUCAGAGACCACCAGACCAGAUGUUUCUGACCCCAAGGCAAAUGAUGUCACUGAGAAAUCCAGUGGUAGCUGAUAAGGAUUGAAACAGGGGUCAAAAGCCCCAGAAUUUAGUAUAAAUAAUAGAGCAAAUGAACAGGGAUUCAGCCAGCUGAAACAAGGAUGCACUCCAGCUGGAGAGCCUGAUGAGGAUAUGACAUCCCAUCACUUGUCAUAUGGUUUUCUGAUCUGCGUGAUCCUCACCACUCUCAAACUCUACCGCCUGUCUGGACCUUGGUGAGAGCCGGAACUUCUCCCUACAACCCUCUCCUCAACUGGUCGUCCACUUCACACCAGGAAAACGCCUGCCUUUGUUCCGGACUUGGUCACCUCGGUCUGAGUGAGUGUGCAUCUGCUGGACACAAAACCUAAGGCUUAAGACUUUUGAUCUGACAUUUGAACUUAGCAUGCAGAGGGAAUGUCUUUCAUUAGCCUGUCAUGAUUAAGUGUGUUUUGCAUUGCUUAGAAUUAAUCUAGAAUUGUUUGCUAUGAAUUGAUUAUCUCUAUUGCAGUGCCUAGCAUUAAGGAUUGUCAUUUUCUUGAUUAAGAACCUAUAGAAUGAAAUUGUAU
Molecule: long non-coding RNA, 1487 nt
Filed under: Marmota monax (woodchuck)
Lineage: Eukaryota; Metazoa; Chordata; Mammalia; Rodentia; Sciuridae
Source: RNAcentral